GUGCUCGUAGCUCAGAAGGAUAGAGCGAUAGCCUCCUAAGCUGUAGGCCCCGCGUUCGAUUCGCGGCGAGCACACCA
Molecule: transfer RNA, 77 nt
Filed under: Desulfovibrio litoralis DSM 11393
Lineage: Bacteria; Pseudomonadati; Thermodesulfobacteriota; Desulfovibrionia; Desulfovibrionales; Desulfovibrionaceae
Description: tRNA_Arg_CCT
Rfam family: tRNA
About the family: Transfer RNA (tRNA) molecules are approximately 80 nucleotides in length. Their secondary structure includes four short double-helical elements and three loops (D, anti-codon, and T loops). Further hydrogen bonds mediate the characteristic L-shaped molecular structure. tRNAs have two regions of fundamental functional importance: the anti-codon, which is responsible for specific mRNA codon recognition, and the 3' end, to which the tRNAs corresponding amino acid is attached (by aminoacyl-tRNA synthetases). tRNAs cope with the degeneracy of the genetic code in two manners: having more than one tRNA (with a specific anti-codon) for a particular amino acid; and 'wobble' base-pairing, i.e. permitting non-standard base-pairing at the 3rd anti-codon position.
Source: RNAcentral